This 248-nucleotide ribosomal RNA is filed under the name uncultured bacterium. RNAcentral describes it as "partial 16S ribosomal RNA". It matches the Rfam family "Bacterial small subunit ribosomal RNA", at positions 85 to 334 of the family's 1533-position model. The record is from RNAcentral.
CCGAUGGCGACCGGCGCACGGGUGAGUAACGCGUAUCCAACCUGCCGAUAACUCGGGGAUAGCCUUUCGAAAGAAAGAUUAAUACCCGAUGGUAUAAUCAGACCGCAUGGUCUUGUUAUUAAAGAAUUUCGGUUAUCGAUGGGGAUGCGUUCCAUUAGGCAGUUGGUGAGGUAACGGCUCACCAAACCUUCGAUGGAUAGGGGUUCUGAGAGGAAGGUCCCCCACAUUGGAACUGAGACACGGUCCAA